UACGAAGGGGGCUAGCGUUGCUCGGAAUCACUGGGCGUAAAGCGCACGUAGGCGGACUCUUAAGUCGGUGGUGAAAUCCUGGAGCUCAACUCCAGAACUGCCUUCGAUACUGGGAGUCUCGAGUCCGGGAGAGGUGAGUGGAACUGCGAGUGUAGAGGUGAAAUUCGUAGAUAUUCGCAAGAACACCAGUGGCGAAGGCGGCUCACUGGCCCGAUACUGACGCUGAGGAGCGAAAGCGUGGGUAGCAAACAGG
Molecule: ribosomal RNA, 253 nt
Filed under: uncultured bacterium
Lineage: Bacteria
Description: partial 16S ribosomal RNA
Rfam family: Bacterial small subunit ribosomal RNA
Source: RNAcentral